This 831-nucleotide ribosomal RNA is filed under the name uncultured bacterium. Its description in RNAcentral is "bacterial SSU rRNA". It matches the Rfam family "Bacterial small subunit ribosomal RNA", at positions 684 to 1533 of the family's 1533-position model. The record is from RNAcentral.
GAAUGCUUAGAUAUCACACAGAACACCGAUUGCGAAGGCAGCACACUAAGUCAUUAUUGACGCUGAGGCACGAAAGUGUGGGGAUCAAACAGGAUUAGAUACCCUGGUAGUCCACACUGUAAACGAUGAUAACUCGCUGUCGGCGAUACACAGUCGGUGGCCAAGCGAAAGCAUUAAGUUAUCCACCUGGGGAGUACGACCGCAAGGUUGAAACUCAAAGGAAUUGACGGGGGCCCGCACAAGCGGAGGAACAUGUGGUUUAAUUCGAUGAUACGCGAGGAACCUUACCCGGGCUCGAACGGUGCAUGAAUAUACGAGAGAUUGUAUAGUCCUUCGGGACAUGUAUCGAGGUGCUGCAUGGUUGUCGUCAGCUCGUGCCGUGAGGUGUCGGCUUAAGUGCCAUAACGAGCGCAACCCUUGUCAUUAGUUGCCAUCAGGUCAAGCUGGGGACUUUAAUGAGACUGCCACCGUAAGGUGUGAGGAAGGGGGGGAUGACGUCAAAUCAGCACGGCCCUUAUGUCCGGGGCGACACACGUGUUACAAUGGGAGGUACAGAGGGCAGCUAUCCGGUGACGGAAUGCUAAUCUCCAAAACCUUUCUCAGUUCGGAUUGGAGUCUGCAACUCGACUCCAUGAAGGUGGAUUCGCUAGUAAUCGCGCAUCAGCCAUGGCGCGGUGAAUACGUUCCCGGGCCUUGUACACACCGCCCGUCAAGCCAUGGAAGCUUGGGGUGCCUGAAGUUCGUGACCGCAAGGAGCAACCUAAGGCAAAACAGGUAACUGGGGCUAAGUCGUAANCAAGGUAACCCGAAAGGGCGAAUUNCGUAACUCGC